RNAcentral lists this ribosomal RNA (491 nucleotides) under uncultured bacterium. RNAcentral's name for it is "partial 16S ribosomal RNA". It matches the Rfam family "Bacterial small subunit ribosomal RNA", at positions 29 to 507 of the family's 1533-position model. The record is from RNAcentral.
GUGAACGCUGGCGGUAGGCCUAACACAUGCAGGUCGAACGGCAGCACAGUAAGAGCUUGCUCUUACGGGUGGCGAGUGGCGGACGGGUGAGGAAUACAUCGGAAUCUACUUUUUCGUGGGGGAUAACGUAGGGAAACUUACGCUAAUACCGCAUACGACCUACGGGUGAAAGCAGGGGAUCUUCGGACCUUGCGCGAUUGAAUGAGCCGAUGUCGGAUUAGCUAGUUGGCGGGGUAAAGGCCCACCAAGGCGACGAUCCGUAGCUGGUCUGAGAGGAUGAUCAGCCACACUGGAACUGAGACACGGUCCAGACUCCUACGGGAGGCAGCAGUGGGGAAUAUUGGACAAUGGGCGCAAGUCUGAUCCAGCCAUACCGCGUGGGUGAAGAAGGCCUUCGGGUUGUAAAGCCCUUUUGUUGGGAAAGAAAAGCAGCAGGUUAAUACCCCGCUGUUCUGACGGUACCCAAAGAAUAAGCACCGGCUAACUUCGUG